RNAcentral lists this ribosomal RNA (272 nucleotides) under Escherichia coli. RNAcentral's name for it is "partial 16S ribosomal RNA". It matches the Rfam family "Bacterial small subunit ribosomal RNA", at positions 1 to 269 of the family's 1533-position model. The record is from RNAcentral. Lineage: Bacteria; Pseudomonadati; Pseudomonadota; Gammaproteobacteria; Enterobacterales; Enterobacteriaceae.
AAAUUGAAGAGUUUGAUCAUGGCUCAGAUUGAACGCUGGCGGCAGGCCUAACACAUGCAAGUCGAACGGUAACAGGAAGAAGCUUGCUUCUUUGCUGACGAGUGGCGGACGGGUGAGUAAUGUCUGGGAAACUGCCUGAUGGAGGGGGAUAACUACUGGAAACGGUAGCUAAUACCGCAUAACGUCGCAAGACCAAAGAGGGGGACCUUCGGGCCUCUUGCCAUCGGAUGUGCCCAGAUGGGAUUAGCUAGUAGGUGGGAUAACGGCUCACC